This 253-nucleotide ribosomal RNA is filed under the name uncultured bacterium. RNAcentral's name for it is "partial 16S ribosomal RNA". It matches the Rfam family "Bacterial small subunit ribosomal RNA", at positions 524 to 776 of the family's 1533-position model. The record is from RNAcentral.
UACGUAGGGUGCAAGCGUUGUCCGGAAUUAUUGGGCGUAAAGAGCUCGUAGGCGGUCUGUCGCGUCUGCUGUGAAAGCCCGGGGCUCAACCCCGGGUCGGCCGUCGAUACUCUUGGGCUCGAGCACUGUAGAGGCAGGUGGAAUUCCGGGUGUAGCGGUGGAAUGCGUAGAGGUCCGGAAGAACACCGGUGGCGAAGGCGGCCUGCUGGGCAGUUGCUGACACUGAGGCGCGACAGCGUGGGGAGCAAACAGG